This is a long non-coding RNA of Mesocricetus auratus (golden hamster), 907 nucleotides long. RefSeq lists it as uncharacterized. NCBI's taxonomy places the organism in Eukaryota, Metazoa, Chordata, Mammalia, Rodentia, Cricetidae. The record is from RefSeq and is a predicted model, not a curated record. The transcript has 3 exons.
CCCUGCACCAAGGGACAUACAUACUGGAGUUGCUACUGGUCCCUGAAACUUCCGAACUUCACUCUCUAGCCCUCAGUAUUUUCUCCUGUAAGAUGAGUGGGGGCUGAAGGGGUUGACUCAAGACAUCUUUCACUCAAGAUCAAGAAGGAGGUCCCUCCUAUCAGGUCUGGUCCAACAGUCAACCCCAUGGCUAUACCCACCCCAACCUUCCCAACCUGAGGUGGGAGAGCCUACUGCUUUUUUCAAAGUAUUUCUCUUUCCAGGCUCCCUACAGGAAGUCACCAUCCUUCUGGGGCCUCAAUAAAGGUACUAUCCAGGUUGCUAGAAAGCACUGCCAAGGAUCAUGACUUCUAGGCUGCCGUUCUUGGUUCAGCCACAUUACUAGCAACAUGACCGCUCCAGGUUCGGUUUCCUUAUCUGUAAAAUGGGAAUUCCAUCAUCAUCGGCCUCAUCUCAUCGGCUACCUGCUCCAGUCAGAGGCAUGCUCCUACAAAGGAUUCAGGGGGCGACCUCUAUCAUCUGUUCCUCCUCAAUGCUAAUCAAGUUUCCAGAAUCACUUGGUCUGCAGGCUUCAGAGGCCAAACUCAAGUCAUCUGCUUGUACAGCCGGAGUGCUUCCCUGUUGUGCGCCUCAGUUCCCAGCUCUUUUCUAACUUGCUUAAAGCACGGUCAGGUCCCAAGGAUCAAACUCAGGUCAUCCUGCUUGGUGGUCAACUCUUUUUUCCACUGAGUCAUCUCAUUUCCCCCCUUUAUGGUAUCUUUCAACUAUUUCCUAGAGCCUGAGGGCAGAGAUGGGGGGGUGUAAAGAGGUGAGUGCACUUAACUCUUUAGAAACCUCACACAUCUUCCUGAGGCUACUGCUUCAAGAAAAUCACUAAUAGUGUCCUAUUAAAAGUCAAACUGUUGAA